RNAcentral lists this ribosomal RNA (495 nucleotides) under uncultured bacterium. Its description in RNAcentral is "bacterial SSU rRNA". It matches the Rfam family "Bacterial small subunit ribosomal RNA", at positions 903 to 1397 of the family's 1533-position model. The record is from RNAcentral.
AAAGGAAUUGACGGGGACCCGCACAAGCAGCGGAGCAUGUGGUUUAAUUCGAAGCAACGCGAAGAACCUUACCAGGGCUUGACAUGCCCCUGACCGGUGUAGAGAUACACCUUUACCUUCGGGUACAGGGGACACAGGUGGUGCAUGGUUGUCGUCAGCUCGUGUCGUGAGAUGUUGGGUUAAGUCCCGUAACGAGCGCAACCCCUGUUUUUAGUUGCCAUCAUUAAGUUGGGCACUCUAAAGAGACUGCCGAUGAUAAAUCGGAGGAAGGUGGGGAUGACGUCAAAUCAUCAUGCCCUUUAUGUCCUGGGCUACACACGUGCUACAAUGGUCGAUACAACGAGGAGCAACACAGCAAUGUGAAGCAAAUCUCUUAAAGUCGAUCUCAGUUCGGAUUGCAGGCUGCAACUCGCCUGCAUGAAGCCGGAGUUGCUAGUAAUCGCGAAUCAGAAUGUCGCGGUGAAUGCGUUCCCGGGUCUUGUACACACCGCCCGU